AGAGUUUGAUCCUGGCUCAGAUUGAACGCUGGCGGCAGGCCUAACACAUGCAAGUCGAGCGGUAGCACAGAGAGCUUGCUCUCGGGUGACGAGCGGCGGACGGGUGAGUAAUGUCUGGGAAACUGCCUGAUGGAGGGGGAUAACUACUGGAAACGGUAGCUAAUACCGCAUAAUGUCGCAAGACCAAAGUGGGGGACCUUCGGGCCUCAUGCCAUCAGAUGUGCCCAGAUGGGAUUAGCUAGUAGGUGGGGUAACGGCUCACCUAGGCGACGAUCCCUAGCUGGUCUGAGAGGAUGACCAGCCACACUGGAACUGAGACACGGUCCAGACUCCUACGGGAGGCAGCAGUGGGGAAUAUUGCACAAUGGGCGCAAGCCUGAUGCAGCCAUGCCGCGUGUGUGAAGAAGGCCUUCGGGUUGUAAAGCACUUUCAGCGGGGAGGAAGGCGGUGAGGUUAAUAACCUCAUCGAUUGACGUUACCCGCAGAAGAAGCACCGGCUAACUCCGUGCCAGCAGCCGCGGUAAUACGGAGGGUGCAAGCGUUAAUCGGAAUUACUGGGCGUAAAGCGCACGCAGGCGGUCUGUCAAGUCGGAUGUGAAAUCCCCGGGCUUAACCUGGGAACUGCAUUCGAAACUGGCAGGCUAGAGUCUUGUAGAGGGGGGUAGAAUUCCAGGUGUAGCGGUGAAAUGCGUAGAGAUCUGGAGGAAUACCGGUGGCGAAGGCGGCCCCCUGGACAAAGACUGACGCUCAGGUGCGAAAGCGUGGGGAGCAAACAGGAUUAGAUACCCUGGUAGUCCACGCCGUAAACGAUGUCGAUUUGGAGGUUGUGCCCUUGAGGCGUGGCUUCCGGAGCUAACGCGUUAAAUCGACCGCCUGGGGAGUACGGCCGCAAGGUUAAAACUCAAAUGAAUUGACGGGGGCCCGCACAAGCGGUGGAGCAUGUGGUUUAAUUCGAUGCAACGCGAAGAACCUUACCUGGUCUUGACAUCCACAGAACUUUCCAGAGAUGGAUUGGUGCCUUCGGGAACUGUGAGACAGGUGCUGCAUGGCUGCCGUCAGCUCGUGUUGUGAAAUGUUGGGUUAAGUCCCGCAACGAGCGCAACCCUUAUCCUUUGUUGCCAGCGGUCCGGCCGGGAACUCAAAGGAGACUGCCAGUGAUAAACUGGAGGAAGGUGGGGAUGACGUCAAGUCAUCAUGGCCCUUACGACCAGGGCUACACACGUGCUACAAUGGCAUAUACAAAGAGAAGCGACCUCGCGAGAGCAAGCGGACCUCAUAAAGUAUGUCGUAGUCCGGAUUGGAGUCUGCAACUCGACUCCAUGAAGUCGGAAUCGCUAGUAAUCGUAGAUCAGAAUGCUACGGUGAAUACGUUCCCGGGCCUUGUACACACCGCCCGUCACACCAUGUGAGUGGGUUGCA
This 1419-nucleotide ribosomal RNA is filed under the name uncultured bacterium. RNAcentral describes it as "16S ribosomal RNA". It matches the Rfam family "Bacterial small subunit ribosomal RNA". The record is from RNAcentral.